AUGAACGCUGGCGGCGUGCCUAAUACAUGCAAGUCGAGCGAACAGACGAGGAGCUUGCUCCUUUGACGUUAGCGGCGGACGGGUGAGUAACACGUAGGUAACCUACCUAUAAGACUGGGAUAACUUCGGGAAACCGGAGCUAAUACCGGAUAAUAUUUCGAACCGCAUGGUUCGAUAGUGAAAGAUGGCUUUGCUAUCACUUAUAGAUGGACCUGCGCCGUAUUAGCUAGUUGGUAAGGUAACGGCUUACCAAGGCAACGGUACGUAGCCGACCUGAGAGGGUGAUCGGCCACACUGGAACUGAGACACGGUCCAGACUCCUACGGGAGGCAGCAGUAGGGAAUCUUCCGCAAUGGGCGAAAGCCUGACGGAGCAACGCCGCGUGAGUGAUGAAGGUCUUCGGAUCGUAAAACUCUGUUAUUAGGGAAGAACAAACGUGUAAGUAACUGUGCACGUCUUGACGGUACCUAAUCAGAAAGCCACGGCUAACUACGUG
Molecule: ribosomal RNA, 496 nt
Filed under: uncultured bacterium
Lineage: Bacteria
Description: partial 16S ribosomal RNA
Rfam family: Bacterial small subunit ribosomal RNA
Source: RNAcentral